Molecule: ribosomal RNA, 447 nt
Filed under: uncultured bacterium
Lineage: Bacteria
Description: partial 16S ribosomal RNA
Rfam family: Bacterial small subunit ribosomal RNA
Source: RNAcentral
AACGAACGCUGGCGGCAGGCUUAACACAUGCAAGUCGAACGCCCCGCAAGGGGAGUGGCAGACGGGUGAGUAACGCGUGGGAAUCUACCGUACCCUACGGAACAACCGUUGGAAACGACUGCUAAUACCGUAUACGCCCUACGGGGGAAAGAUUUAUCGGGGUAUGAUGAGCCGGCGUUGGAUGAGCUAGUUGGUGGGGUAAAGGCCUACCAAGGCGACGAUCCAUAGCUGGUCUGAGAGGAUGAUCAGCCACAUUGGGACUGAGACACGGCCCGAACUCCUACGGGAGGCAGCAGUGGGGAAUAUUGGACAAUGGGCGCAAGCCUGAUCCAGGCAUGCCGCGUGAGUGGUGAAGGUCUUAGGAUUGUAAAGCUCUUUCACCGAUGAAGAUAAUGACGGUAGUCGGAGAAGAAGCCCCGGCUAACUUCGUGCCAGCCGCCGCGGUAA